GUCGUGAGAUGUUGGGUUAAGUCCCGCAACGAGCGCAACCCUUGUCCCUAGUUGCUACGCAAGGGCACUCUAGGGAGACUGCCGGUGACAAACCGGAGGAAGGUGGGGAUGACGUCAAGUCCUCAUGGCCCUUAUGGGUAGGGCUUCACACGUCAUACAAUGGCCGGUACAGAGGGUUGCCAACCCGCGAGGGGGAGCCAAUCCCAGAAAGCCGGUCGUAGUCCGGAUUGCAGUCUGCAACUCGACUGCAUGAAGUCGGAAUCGCUAGUAAUCGCGGAUCAGCAUGCCGCGGUGAAUACGUUCCCGGGUCUUGUACACACCGCCCGUCACACCAUGGGAGCGGGAUGUACCAGAAGCAGCUAGCCUAACCGCAAGGGGGGCGGUUGCCACGGUGCGUUUCGUGACUGGGGUGAAGUCGUAACAAGGUAGCCGUAUCGGAAGGUGCGGCUGGAUCACCUCCUUUCUCGGAACGCCCUCGCGUUCCAGUGCUCACGCUUAUCGGUUGUUGCAAGGCGACAGGAAAACGGAAUUACGGUACAUGGCGUGGCUUUGCGGAUUGCCGCGACACCCGGCGUGCCCUGUUUUCCCCACCUCUGUUGCCUGACAGGGGCCUGUAGCUCAGUUGGUUAGAGCACCGUCUUGAUAAGGCGGGGGUCGAUGGUUCGAAUCCAUCCAGACCCACCAGAGUUCGCCGGGGCUGUAGCUCAGUUGGGAGAGCACCUGCUUUGCAAGCAGGGGGUCGUCGGUUCGAUCCCGUCCAGCUCCACCAAUCGAGACGGGAUCCGGGGCCGGGUAGGCGGCGCAGAGUCCAGAAGCAAGCGGCACGGGUGUCCAAUCGUGCCGUUUGCUUCUGGUUUACUGAACCAGUGUUAUCGGUUGUUCUUUAACAAUACGGAAGAAGUAAAGCAAUCUUGCCCGACGGGCGAGGCUUGAGGCGCAAGCCUCAUUUCUCGAGCGUGGGGCGGGAUGGGUUGGAUUGUAUCGAGCCCGCUGUUCCCGAGAAGGUGGGAAUGGUGGGUAGCGCAAAUACCCGUAACCUGGGCGAAGCAGUGCUCAGUGUUAUGGGGUCAAGCGACUAAGUGCAUGUGGUGGAUGCCUUGGCGAUUACAGGCGAUGAAGGACGUGGCAGCCUGCGAAAAGCUGCGGGGAGCUGGCAAACGAGCAUUGAUCCGCAGAUGU
This 1179-nucleotide small RNA is filed under the name uncultured Burkholderia sp. RNAcentral describes it as "bacterial SSU rRNA". The stretch from base 1 to 463 matches the Rfam family "Bacterial small subunit ribosomal RNA", at positions 1064 to 1533 of the family's 1533-position model. Lineage: Bacteria; Pseudomonadati; Pseudomonadota; Betaproteobacteria; Burkholderiales; Burkholderiaceae. The record is from RNAcentral.